CCUACGGGCGGCAGCAGUGAGGAAUAUUGGUCAAUGGACGAGAGUCUGAACCAGCCAAGUAGCGUGAAGGAUGACUGCCCUAUGGGUUGUAAACUUCUUUUAUAUGGGAAUAAAACGUUCCACGUGUGGGAUUUUGUAUGUACCAUAUGAAUAAGGAUCGGCUAACUCCGUGCCAGCAGCCGCGGUAAUACGGAGGAUCCGAGCGUUAUCCGGAUUUAUUGGGUUUAAAGGGAGCGUAGGUGGAUUGUUAAGUCAGUUGUGAAAGUUUGCGGCUCAACCGUAAAAUUGCAGUUGAUACUGGCAGUCUUGAGUACAGUAGAGGUGGGCGGAAUUCGUGGUGUAGCGGUGAAAUGCUUAGAUAUCACGAAGAACUCCGAUUGCGAAGGCAGUUCACUGGACUGCAACUGACACUGAGGCUCGAAAGUGUGGGUAUCAAACAGGAUUAGAUACCCGAGUAGUC
This 460-nucleotide ribosomal RNA is filed under the name uncultured bacterium. Its description in RNAcentral is "partial 16S ribosomal RNA". It matches the Rfam family "Bacterial small subunit ribosomal RNA", at positions 338 to 795 of the family's 1533-position model. The record is from RNAcentral.